GUGGGGAAUAUUGGGCAAUGGAUGCAAGUCUGACCCAGCCAUCCCGCGUGCCGGAAGAAGGCCCUCAGGGUUGUAAACGGCUUUUGACGGUGAAGAAUCGACAGGAUGCGUCCUGUUUUGACGGUAGCCGUUGAAUAAGCACCGGCUAACUCCGUGCCAGCAGCCGCGGUAAUACGGAGGGUGCGAGCGUUGUCCGGAUUUAUUGGGUUUAAAGGGUUCGUAGGCUGGAAGGUCAGUCAGCGGUGAAAAGCUGUCGCUUAACGAUAGUCUUGCCGCAGAUACUUCCUUUCUUGGAUGAGGAGGAGGCCACUGGAACGGAUGGUGUAGCGGUGAAAUGCAUAGAUAUCAUCCAGAACACCGAUUGCGAAGGCAGGUGGCUGUACCUUAAUCGACGCUGAUGCACGAAAGCAUGGGGAGCAAACAGGAUUAGAAACCCGGGUAGUCC
RNAcentral lists this ribosomal RNA (445 nucleotides) under uncultured bacterium. RNAcentral's name for it is "partial 16S ribosomal RNA". It matches the Rfam family "Bacterial small subunit ribosomal RNA", at positions 354 to 796 of the family's 1533-position model. The record is from RNAcentral.